GUCUACUCAUAUUUCCCCCAUUCACAAAAUCGUAAAAAACAUCGACGAUGCCAAAGAAGAACCCAAACUUUGACUCGCCAGCAAAGGAGACGCAGAAUUUACUUCUCCUUCAUCUACACAUUUUGUCUACGUCGCCGGAGCUUCAUCUGCCCAAUUUGUCGCCAUCGCUGCCGCUUCAUCUGCACAAUCCAUCGCCGUCGUUUCAUUUGCACAAUCUGUAGCCACAAACGCGCGAUUUCUGGCGCCGCAGAUAUAGGGGAAUAGCCGUACUCUCAAUUCAUCUGCACAAUUCGUCGCCGUAGUUUUAUCCACACAAUUCGUCGCCGUCGUUUCAUUUGUACAAUAUGUACCCACAGACGCACGAUUUCUGCCGCCGCAGAUAUAGAGGAGUAGCCGUACUCUCAAUUCAGACAUCAAGGUGAGUGGUCUCUUCUUAAUUUCUAUUUUUCUGUUGCAUGUCCUCCUCGUCA
Long non-coding RNA from Arabidopsis thaliana (thale cress), 470 nucleotides. RefSeq annotates it as other RNA. NCBI's taxonomy places the organism in Eukaryota, Viridiplantae, Streptophyta, Magnoliopsida, Brassicales, Brassicaceae. The record is from RefSeq. The transcript has a single exon.